RNAcentral lists this ribosomal RNA (99 nucleotides) under Acanthosepion pharaonis. The record is from RNAcentral. Lineage: Eukaryota; Metazoa; Mollusca; Cephalopoda; Sepiida; Sepiidae.
ACGGUCACACCUGUUCCCAUACGAUCAUCGAAGUUAAGCAAUGUCGAGCUUGUUCACUACCUAGAUGGGUGACCGCUUGAGAAUACCAGGUGCUGUAAG